This is a non-coding RNA of Paramuricea clavata, 509 nucleotides long. The record is from the annotation of a GenBank genome assembly. NCBI's taxonomy places the organism in Eukaryota, Metazoa, Cnidaria, Anthozoa, Malacalcyonacea, Plexauridae.
AAAACACAUUGGGAUGGUAGACAUAAAAUAAAUGUAUUUGUCUUUUUACAGCUAUCAACAAAGUAUGGAUGUAAGGCCACAGAGGUUUGUCAACAUAUGAGGACAAAUAUAAACAACAUGGGGAAGUGUUGCAAAGUACAGAAAAGCAAACAAGAACAAGAACUUAUUUGAGGACUAUGUUUUGAGGCCAGUUUUAAACUUAACUUUAAAUGUCAAUUAUGGUUAUUACCUAUGGUUUAGACCAUUAAGCGCCAGCGCUCUGACGAGUAAAAUCGUCUGGCGUUAGACAGAGUAAACUAUAGUAAAAUAAAGUAGGGCGCAAUGUGAUUCAAUGGGUUAACUAGACACAUAUAUAGGAAUAUAGGCUAGUUAACCCAUUCAGAGCCAGCAUUUCCCCUUGACAUUCAAGUACAAUUGUCUGGAGUUAGACAGAGUAAAAUAGUCUGGCAUUAGACAAAGUAAAAUAGUUAGACAGAGUAAAAUAAUAAAGUAGGACGCAUCAUAUGGCA